Magnolia sinica is the source of this 664-nucleotide long non-coding RNA. RefSeq lists it as uncharacterized. The record is from RefSeq and is a predicted model, not a curated record. NCBI's taxonomy places the organism in Eukaryota, Viridiplantae, Streptophyta, Magnoliopsida, Magnoliales, Magnoliaceae. The transcript has 3 exons.
GAAUCCCUAAUUAGGGAUUUUGUAGCGUUGAUUCCCUAAUUGUGGAUUAUAGAUUAAAAAAAAAAAAAACUGAAAACCCCUAAUUAGUGGAAUUUUCUCUAGAACUAUGAAAUGCUUUGUUUCUCUCGAGGGUAGCUAGAUUGGGAAAAUGCUGAAACCAUUAGCUUCUAUGCGAUCUGCAAAAGUUGGGAUUAAAGAUCGAGCAUCAUGAGGACAACCUGAAAUUUCUGAAGUCUCAAACAAACAACUUAGGAUGAAUCCAUUUUUGAUAUGUAAGGAAAAGGCCAACGACAACUGUUGUUUUUUCAUCUGAUUCCCUUUUUGCCUUCCAUAUACUGGGAAUUGAUGCACUUGUGGGCAAUCAAAGUUCCAUCUAUAAUCUGUCUGCUAUAUACAAAAGCUCCCUGCACCUUGGAGAUACAUUUCCUAGCACCUUUUCUGACAGAGAGCACGGCCUGCAACCUUUUAUGUAAAGCUGCACCUUCCAACUUGUACAUGCACUUGGACUCUCUCAUCUGUUCUUUGAAUAUUUGGUAUUGCUUGUCUUCUCAAUUGGGUCUCAUUUUGAACUUCUACAUGCACUUGGAUACUCUCAUAUCUGGCCUUUUGGAAAUUAGGUAUUGCUGGUAUUCUCAAUUGGGUCUUGCAUUUUGAAUGUCUGCAU